AAAACUCUGCGGGGUGCGUGACCAGGCGUUAUCAAUAAUUGAGCCAACACUUGAAGAACGGGAGGCAAAUGCCGCCGUUUCGGUGCAGUCUUUCACAGUUAAAGAUUUGCCGUAGAAACCGGCUUUGAUGUGCAAAUUUAUUUGGACAGAAUGCCACCCACCUAUUAUUAAUAGGUUCAAUUCAAGCGUUUGGAACGGCUUCUGUGGGUUUUUU
Molecule: non-coding RNA, 214 nt
Filed under: Pyrinomonadaceae bacterium
Lineage: Bacteria; Pseudomonadati; Acidobacteriota; Blastocatellia; Blastocatellales; Pyrinomonadaceae
Description: 6S RNA
Rfam family: 6S / SsrS RNA
About the family: E. coli 6S RNA was the first non coding RNA to be sequenced, but its function was unknown until recently. It consists of 184 nucleotides that fold into an extended hairpin structure with a large single-stranded internal bulge.
Source: RNAcentral